Aedes aegypti (yellow fever mosquito) is the source of this 2956-nucleotide long non-coding RNA. RefSeq lists it as uncharacterized. The record is from RefSeq and is a predicted model, not a curated record. NCBI's taxonomy places the organism in Eukaryota, Metazoa, Arthropoda, Insecta, Diptera, Culicidae. The transcript is spliced from 2 exons.
GAUUGGGUCAUUCGUGUCCAAGCAACCGUACGCAUCAGAUCGCAUCGUGCUGUUUUGUUCCGUUUCUCGCGCGCGCCAACUCACAAACAUACGCACGCACACAUCCAUACGCUUGCGUAGCCUUUUCCUCGAGGUUGUUUUGUGUUGUUUUUCUGCCAAGAAAGUGUGCGGCCGCCUUUUCUCCGUUCGUUCAUCGAAUCGCGGGUUCGCGCACUGCUGCGAGAUAUAAAUAAGAACAGUUAGAAGAAAGACAUUUCGCGCGCGCACAUUUCGGCCCGAAAAAGAGAGUGUGUACUCCUUCGGUGUGUUUUCGCGUUUUCUUCGUCGUUUUGGUGGCAACUGUGUUUGUGCGCUUUUUUCCGCUCGCUACUCAACCGCUGGGAUCGAGCGUUGUGUAACCACUUGGUACUUUGGAGCAGUGGAAGCGAACAGCAAGUGUGGAAAGUGCUUUGAUUGUUGUCUGUUUGAUUGUACGGAUUUUUGUUGAUUGUUAUUUGUCAAACGGGUGCUAUCGGACAAAUUGUCGAGAUUUUCGAGUGACCCACGUCCAGAAGAGGCAGAUCCACUCGAGACAGUCAUGGGGAGCUGAUUGAGUGUAAAUAUUUGUGCCAACAACUACACUAGUGUGAAAGCCACUUUGCAGGAGUUUAUUGCAAGGAGCUGGCUAAACCUGAGUGGAUGUUUGCUGAAAGUGUUAAGUGAAGAAGUACAGUACUCGAACGAAACCUAAGGCUGUGAAAAAAGUGCCUGCUAAGAAACACGUAACUAGAUAUAUUAUGUGCUUAAGUUUUAUUUGGUGAAAGAGUUUAAUAGAAUAUAAAAAAGGAAUACAAUGACAGCGAGUAAGAUAUCCCGCCCGAACAGCUUCCUGGGGAGUUCAGCAGCGACUCCACGGAACAGUUCGUUCGAUAACUACCGGAGCCAGGUGCCACAGAACGUCAAUCGGACGAAGCGGUGCCUCUUCGGAAUGCCAGACUCAAACGAAACAAAAAGACUGUACAAUGAAAGUGUACAACAGGAUCGUCAGCGAUUCAUCCAGCGGUAUAACUUUGAUACCGUGGCAGGUCAGCCUGUCAGAAGCUCGUCAAUGAUCUCAUCAUCGUCGUCAUCGUCAUCUUCAUCAUCACGCAGUAGCCCUUCCAGGGAGUACUGCAGGCCGAACGAAGCGAAGGGGCUAGGCAAAGAUGACUCCAAGAAGCCUUACACGAGACAACAGCAGAAAUAGUCGAUAGAUCUGCCCAGCAUCGCCAGCCAACGCCUGUACUUCAAAGGAUACGGCGCCGCUGCAACGGAAGUCUUCCAUAGAGCAACCGUACGGAGAAUCAGAUUCUUCCACCAACCACCAACCCCUGACUUUUCCGCAGCCGAAACGCAGCCUGUUGCGAUUUUGGACCAGCGCAACAGUUUUACCUGGAACCAUUUUAACCAGUCUUAACCUAGCAUCUUCAAAUUAAGUUACAUCCAGUGAUCCUCCCGGAAGCUUUGCGAAAUGCUCCUGCCCAAAAAGGGGGUAGCAAAGCACCGUCGAGAGGUUUACCCCUAACUUUUACCCCUGAUACCGCAUCACUUGGUAUCCCAAAAACCCACUGUAACGAAGUCGACGAGCAAGCAACGCGAAUUGGCACAAACAUUCUUGUGAUAUACCUUCUAAACUUCAAAAAACGACAACCACUUGCGGUUUGUGCGAUCAACAGCAACAACGUUGAUUCGGGGCGCGAGAGGAGCACGCAAAAUGAGAGAAAGAGAUUAUGAGUGUGUAUGAGAGCGAGAAAGAAAGAGCGAGAGCGAACGCAAAUCUUCCCACACGUGCGCGCACUCGGCGACGAUUCGGUGAAGCGAACAAUCCUUUAUUGUUGUAUUAAUUUAUAGCAAAUUUUGUUGAAUUAAGAUCGAAAAUUUAAUUUCUAUUUUGAAUAGUCGUUAAGGACCUACAGAAUAAACAAGUAAAAUUUUUCUCAUUGGGUAGAGUUUUAUUCUAGGAGUUUCUCUUGAGUUUGUGACAGGGCAUCGUUUGAACCUCUCUCCUCGUUUUGGAUUAAUCAUCAUCUAGGGAAAGCGUUCCAAUGAUUCAUCCUAGUGCACCUAUGUUCGAAAAAGAAUAAUUUCAAACUGUGCGAAAAUCGCAUGUCGUCCAAAAAGAUGAAUAAGGGAUAGUGAGAUGAGCUAUGGAACAGUAACCCUCGAUUCAAAUCCAUUGCGAGAAGAUCGAAGUUCGAACGAUGCACGGAAUCACCCUCAAGCCUUUCGCUUUCAUUAGAUGUUUCUUUUCUUUUGUUUGUUUUAGCUACUCAAUCAAAGAAAGAGAGAGAAAAAUAAGGAAAAUUCAUAGUGAUCUCAUAAUUUAAUUGAUAAUUGUUUUCUAUUACUAUUAUUAUUAUAGCGGAAACGCAGUUAGCAGAGUAACGAGUAGAAUUUAGAAUAAUCAGAAAUCAAAAGCGCACACACACAGACAUCAGCCAAUCGAAAGAAGAUUUCUUAGGUACAAAGCUGCGAAUGCUUAACCCCGAUUAAAUCCGUACUAAAAAAUGUUAGGUCCACAACAUUUUGCUUCGUUUAGGUCCACAAAAUUUUGCUUUUUGAAAAUUUUAGACUUAAUUUCCCAUCAAUUGCUGAUAAUUACAACCCGACAGCAACUACUUGCUGUUGGGGUUUCAUAGGUUAAUUAAACUACCGCUGAAAAAGGAAAGAGAGAUCUUCAUUUGCCAUCCGGCAAAAGUGAAACAUGACUGGUUCAUUUUUGUCAUUCUUAUUGGAUUACGUAGCGAGUUAGAAGUGAAUAGGAUUGUGCAAACUUCAUAUGUUUUGAGAUUAAGUAUGCACGUGUUAGUGAACAGAGCCAGCUUAAGCUACAAUUAUGUACCAUUAUAAUAUGUUUUUUUGCUAUCUUUAUCACAAUCAAAACAAAACGAUAAAAACAACAAUUUAUCUUUUUGCAAUAAAUAGCAAUAAUUAUGAA